CUGGAACGCGCCCCAGGCGCACCCAGAAACCCUUUGUGAACUUAUACCUUACUGUUGCCUCGGCGCUAGCUGGUCCUCCGGGGCCCCUCACCCCCGGGUGUUGAGACAGCCCGCCGGCGGCCAACCUAACUCUUGUUUUUACACUGAAACUCUGAGAAUAAAACAUAAAUGAAUCAAAACUUUCAACAACGGAUCUCUUGGUUCUGGCAUCGAUGAAGAACGCAGCGAAAUGCGAUAAGUAAUGUGAAUUGCAGAAUUCAGUGAAUCAUCGAAUCUUUGAACGCACAUUGCGCCCUCUGGUAUUCCGGAGGGCAUGCCUGUUCGAGCGUCAUUUCAACCCUCAAGCCUGGCUUGGUGAUGGGGCACUGCUUCUUACCCGAGAAGCAGGCCCUGAAAUUCAGUGGCGAGCUCGCCAGGACCCCGAGCGCAGUAGUUAAACCCUCGCUCUGGAAGGCCCUGGCGGUGCCCUGCCGUUAAACCCCCAACUUCUGAAAAU
This 496-nucleotide ribosomal RNA is filed under the name Diaporthe sp. Lc008. RNAcentral describes it as "eukaryotic LSU rRNA". The stretch from base 178 to 331 matches the Rfam family "5.8S ribosomal RNA". The record is from RNAcentral. Lineage: Eukaryota; Fungi; Ascomycota; Sordariomycetes; Diaporthales; Diaporthaceae.